RNAcentral lists this ribosomal RNA (422 nucleotides) under uncultured bacterium. Its description in RNAcentral is "bacterial SSU rRNA". It matches the Rfam family "Bacterial small subunit ribosomal RNA", at positions 355 to 774 of the family's 1533-position model. The record is from RNAcentral.
UGAGGAAUAUUGGUCAAUGGGGGCAACCCUGAACCAGCCAAGUCGCGUGAAGGAUGAAGGUCUUAUGGAUCGUAAACUUCUUUUAUACAGGAAUAAAUUGGGGGACGUGUCCCCUUUUGCAUGUACUGUAUGAAUAAGGAUCGGCUAACUCCGUGCCAGCAGCCGCGGUAAUACGGAGGAUCCGAGCGUUAUCCGGAUUUAUUGGGUUUAAAGGGUGCGCAGGCGGGAUGUUAAGUCGGCGGUGAAAUUUUGCAGCUCAACUGUAAAAGUGCCUUCGNUACUGGCCUCCGUGAGUGUGGAUGAAGUAGGCGGAAUUUGUGGUGUAGCGGUGAAAUGCUUAGAUAUCACGAGGAACUCCGAUUGCGCAGGCAGCUUACUAAACUACAACUGACGCUCAUGCACGAAGGCGUGGGGAUCAAACA